This 454-nucleotide long non-coding RNA is filed under the name Zonotrichia albicollis (white-throated sparrow). Its description in RNAcentral is "lncRNA (ENSZALG00000013715.1)". The record is from RNAcentral. Lineage: Eukaryota; Metazoa; Chordata; Aves; Passeriformes; Passerellidae.
CUUUCAAUUCCCUGAUAAUGCAGGAUGCUGCAGCAGCAGCUGGAGCAUGGGCACAUGGGCUGUCCUAGAGAAAACCCCAGUGCCAGUGCCACCUUUCACCUGGCACAAAGCUGGCCUGGUGAGCAGAGCAGUGCCAGGUGCCAGUUUUUAGGGAUGUGAUGGGUGCUGCUCUGCUUUCCAGCUCUGUCCUGGGCUAUGAGGAGAGGAGCAGCUCCACAAAUCCUGAGGGUCCAUCCCACCACCAGCCCUACUGGGAUGAGACAAGGUUUCUGGACUCGGUCAGCCUCACUGAGAGGGGCCAAGGAGCUCCUGGCCAUGAGAGCCCCCCAGAGCCCCCCAGGCUGAAGGAUGCCACUGAGCCCAGCAGGGCUGGGUCUGAGCUGCACUCCCAGGACACUGCUGGGAGCAGGGACAGGGAGCUGGCACUGUCAUCCUGUGUGCAGAGUGAGGAGAG